AGUACGGCCGCAAGGUUAAAACUCAAAUGAAUUGACGGGGGCCCGCACAAGCGGUGGAGCAUGUGGUUUAAUUCGAUGCAACGCGAAGAACCUUACCUGGUCUUGACAUCCACGGAAGUUUUCAGAGAUGAGAAUGUGCCUUCGGGAACCGUGAGACAGGUGCUGCAUGGCUGUCGUCAGCUCGUGUUGUGAAAUGUUGGGUUAAGUCCCGCAACGAGCGCAACCCUUAUCCUUUGUUGCCAGCGGUCCGGCCGGGAACUCAAAGGAGACUGCCAGUGAUAAACUGGAGGAAGGUGGGGAUGACGUCAAGUCAUCAUGGCCCUUACGACCAGGGCUACACACGUGCUACAAUGGCGCAUACAAAGAGAAGCGGCCUCGCGAGAGCAAGCGGACCUCAUAAAGUGCGUCGUAGUCCGGAUUGGAGUCUGCAACUCGACUCCAUGAAGUCGGAAUCGCUAGUAAUCGUGGAUCAGAAUGCCACGGUGAAUACGUUCCCGGGCCUUGUACACACCGCCCGUCACACCAUGGGAGUGGGUUGCAAAAGAAGUAGGUAGCUUAACCUUCGGGAGGGCGCUUACCACUUUGUGAUUCAUGACUGGGGUGAAGUCGUAACAAGGUAACC
Molecule: ribosomal RNA, 622 nt
Filed under: uncultured marine bacterium
Lineage: Bacteria
Description: bacterial SSU rRNA
Rfam family: Bacterial small subunit ribosomal RNA
Source: RNAcentral